GUGAUCAUAUGAAGCCAUUUAUUAUUACAUCGUUGCGUUGCUCCUUUUUAAAUCAUGAUAACAGAAAUCACCCAAAUGGCCCUGAUCAAAAGUUUACAUAUCCUUGAAUUUUUGGCCUUGUUACAGACACACAAGGUGACAUACACAGGUUAAAAUGACAAUUAAAGGUUAAUUUCCCACACCUGUGGCUUUUUAAAUUGCAAUUAGUGUCUGUGUAUAAAUAGUCAAUGAGUUUGUUAGCUCUUGGAUGCG
Pelobates cultripes (western spadefoot toad) is the source of this 252-nucleotide non-coding RNA. The record is from the annotation of a GenBank genome assembly. Lineage: Eukaryota; Metazoa; Chordata; Amphibia; Anura; Pelobatidae.